RNAcentral lists this ribosomal RNA (465 nucleotides) under uncultured bacterium. RNAcentral describes it as "partial 16S ribosomal RNA". It matches the Rfam family "Bacterial small subunit ribosomal RNA", at positions 28 to 506 of the family's 1533-position model. The record is from RNAcentral.
GAUGAACGCUGGCGGCGUGCUUAACACAUGCAAGUCGAACGAUGAAGCCCAGCUUGCUGGGUGGAUUAGUGGCGAACGGGUGAGUAACACGUGAGUAACCUGCCCUUAACUCUGGGAUAAGCCUGGGAAACUGGGUCUAAUACCGGAUAGGAGCGUCCACCGCAUGGUGGGUGUUGGAAAGAUUUAUCGGUUUUGGAUGGACUCGCGGCCUAUCAGCUUGUUGGUGAGGUAAUGGCUCACCAAGGCGACGACGGGUAGCCGGCCUGAGAGGGUGACCGGCCACACUGGGACUGAGACACGGCCCAGACUCCUACGGGAGGCAGCAGUGGGGAAUAUUGCACAAUGGGCGCGAGCCUGAUGCAGCGACGCCGCGUGAGGGAUGACGGCCUUCGGGUUGUAAACCUCUUUCAGUAGGGAAGAAGCGAAAGUGACGGUACCUGCAGAAGAAGCACCGGCUAACUACGU